CGGGAAAUAGCUCAGCUUGGUAGAGCACUUGGUUUGGGACCAAGGGGUCGCAGGUUCGAAUCCUGUCUUCCCGA
RNAcentral lists this transfer RNA (74 nucleotides) under Staphylococcus aureus. Its description in RNAcentral is "tRNA-Pro". It matches the Rfam family "tRNA". From Rfam's summary of the family: Transfer RNA (tRNA) molecules are approximately 80 nucleotides in length. The record is from RNAcentral. Lineage: Bacteria; Bacillati; Bacillota; Bacilli; Caryophanales; Staphylococcaceae.